This is a non-coding RNA of Armillaria luteobubalina, 129 nucleotides long. The record is from the annotation of a GenBank genome assembly. Lineage: Eukaryota; Fungi; Basidiomycota; Agaricomycetes; Agaricales; Physalacriaceae.
GGCAAGAUGGCCGAGCGGUUAAGGCGUGUGACUCAAGUUAGCGGGAUUGCUCAAUCCUAGACUGGCUUCCCUGGAAUUGGGGUUUCUCAUCACGGUAUCGUGGCGUGGGUUCAAGUCCCACUCUUGUCA